RNAcentral lists this ribosomal RNA (270 nucleotides) under uncultured bacterium. Its description in RNAcentral is "partial 16S ribosomal RNA". It matches the Rfam family "Bacterial small subunit ribosomal RNA", at positions 30 to 302 of the family's 1533-position model. The record is from RNAcentral.
AUUGAACGCUGGCGGCAUGCCUUACACAUGCAAGUCGAACGGAUUGAGGGGCUUGCUCCUCAGUUAGUGGCGAACGGGUGAGUAAUGCAUCGGAACGUGCCUAGUUGUGGGGGAUAACUACUCGAAAGAGUAGCUAAUACCGCAUACGUCCUGAGGGAGAAAGCGGGGGAUCGCAAGACCUCGCGCAAUUAGAGCGGCCGAUGUCAGAUUAGCUAGUUGGUAGGGUAAAAGCCUACCAAGGCGACGAUCUGUAGCUGGUCUGAGAGGACG